Molecule: unclassified non-coding RNA, 3211 nt
Filed under: Hevea brasiliensis (rubber tree)
Lineage: Eukaryota; Viridiplantae; Streptophyta; Magnoliopsida; Malpighiales; Euphorbiaceae
Source: RNAcentral
UUUUUUUUUUUUUUUUUUAACUGCAAAACAGAAGUCUUUAAUGAUUCUGAACCCUUCAAUCCCAGCAACCAAUCAAGCACCCAUAUACUGUAAUUCCUCGAGUUUUGUUGUUUUUACACAUGGGUUUUGAGUUUUGACUGCUAAAAAUCAGUGCUUUCUUUUGAUCUGUACAGAGCAAGGAUUCUUUGAACUACCUUCUCUCUCCCUCUAACCGUGAGACUGAGUCUCCUGCGGCGGCGAUAAGGUGAAGUUACUCUAUCUCCCUAUCGGUGAAUCUGUGGGUAUAAUUUGUUAGAGCAUGUUCUUUAGUUUUAAUGCCUAUCAAAUACUUAGUUUAUUAGAAUUUGCAAAGGCAGAUGGCCCAAUUCUUCCUAAAUUUUUCAUUGCUCAAGAGGUCUUUCCAUGAUUGGGUUUAUGGAAUCACAGCAUGAUUUAUAGUCUGCAUAAUUGAAAACCUGUUUUCUAUCUUAAAUUUCGUGAUCGGUGCUCUUAAAUUUUUCCAUUUAUUUUGUGUCUUUGUCUUUCUUUUUCCACUUCCCUAGGACAUAAUCUUCAGUUAUCUACAUUGUCAAGUUAAAGUUUCCUUCAAAGGCCAAAAUUAUUGACAUACAAAAGAAAUCAAUGUUGUAUAUCAAUCAAUACUCUGGAAUAAGUAAAUUCUCUUAUUUUUGGCAAAAUAUUUAUCUUGUUUCCUUUUUUAAAUAAACAUUACCAUAUUGAAUUCAGUUGUUUAGUAUUGUUUCUUUAUGAGCUUAUGCAAUAACAUACAAUUAAAUACUUCAAGUAUUUUAUCUACUCUCUCGAAAUAAAUAUAUUGAAAUUCUGAUAGUUUUUUGUCUGUCUUUGAAUGCAAAACCAAAGAAUUUUCAUCUCUUUCCUUUCAUAUUAGGCUCAAUUUCAACCAGAAAAUUUGUAAAGGCAAGGUGUUUUAGUUUUAAUGGUUUGAAAAAUCUGUCCAUCCUAUCUUUUUGGCUAGCCUGCUUUUGAAGAAACAUAAAUAUUUUGCCUACAGUUUCACUGUGGCAAUUCUGAAUUUUUUCUUUAUUUAUCCAUGAGCUUUGUCAUUCUUCAAUCUAUGUUGUCAUUGCUUGUCUUCUAUUUGUGAUUAUCUGCACUAUUUUUUUAUGUUCUGCAAAUUUUAAUAAUUUUCUUGUUUUUAAUUAAAUUGUAAUUAUGAAUCACUAUGAUGUUAUGUAAUUGAAAUGGGUGGUCGAACCUGUUGACUCAGGAUUUGGCCACUAGGCUGGUUAGACCUCUUUUUUGGCUUUGAAAACAAUGCUAAAAUCUUAUUCUUCAUGGUGAUUCUAUCAUCAUUAGGAGAGAGAUUGGAUUCCACUUCACUGGUUUGGAGAACAAGGAGCUGUGGAUGCUUGUUUAAGGUUUCUGGAACUUACCCUUAUCAUCAGUCUAUUACCAUCCUGAGUUUCAAGUUUUGACGUUUCUACUUUACAGAGUUACUAUGGAUGUUCUAGCUGUAGCUCAAGUGAAAUGUGUUUGAUAUUUUGCAGUUGUUAUGGCUACUAAUGGCAAGAGACACCGCUUUAAGGAUGGGGCUUUUCGCCGAUUUGUAUCUCUGGCUCUAGUUACAGUAUUGGGGGUUUUACUACUGAUCAUUCUACUUCGAACAAAUUCAGUUUCAGAAUAUGUGCCACACGAUUUAACUGAACGUCAUGAAGACUUGAGACCAAGUUAUAAUUAUUCAGAUUAUGCGGCAAUACUCAAUCUCCCAAAACAUACUGAAUUGUCAAUUCAAUUGGAGAAGCUUAACCAGUUACCCCCAAGGAAUACAGAUCUAUAUCCAAAUUUAGCUAAGGAUCAUAUAACCAUUGUCCUAUAUGUUCAUAAUAGGCCCAAAUAUCUUAAAGUAGUUGUGGAGAGCUUGUCAAAGGUAGAGGGGAUAAGUGAGACAUUACUUAUUGUUAGCCAUGAUGGAUAUUUUGAAGAAAUGAACAAGAUUGUUGAAGGUAUCAAAUUUUGCCAAGUGAAACAGAUAUUUGCCCCUUACUCACCCCAUGUCUUUCCUGAUAGCUUUCCUGGUGUUUCAUCUGAUGACUGCAAGGAUAAGGAUGAUGCAACAAAGAAACAUUGUGUCGGAAAUCCUGAUCAAUAUGGAAACCACCGAUCACCAGAGAUAGUGUCAUUGAAGCAUCAUUGGUGGUGGAUGAUGAACACUGUAUGGGAUGGUCUGAAAGAGACAAAGGGGCAGUCAGGUCAUAUUCUUUUCAUAGAGGAGGAUCACUUCAUUUUUCCCAAUGCAUAUCGGAACUUGCAGAUGCUCACAGCAUUAAAGCCUCUGAAAUGUCCAGAUUGCUAUGCUGCAAAUUUAGCACCUUCUGAUGUGAAUUCAAGAGGAGAAAAUUGGGAAAGUUUAGUUGCUGAGAGAAUGGGAAAUGUGGGUUAUUCCUUUAAUCGAACUACUUGGAGAAAAAUUCAUACGAAGGCAAGAGAGUUUUGUUUCUUUGAUGAUUACAAUUGGGAUAUAACGAUGUGGGCAACAGUUUAUCCCUCAUUUGGUGGUCCAGUUUACACACUACGUGGGCCAAGGACUAGUGCUGUUCAUUUUGGGAAGUGUGGUUUGCAUCAGGGACAUGGGGAGAAAAAUGCGUGCAUUGACAAUGGUUCAGUAAAUAUUGUAGUAGACGAUGUUAAUAAGGUAGCAAACAUCAAUUCAAAGUGGAAAGUGCAUGUUUAUGAGAAUCAACCAGGGUAUAAAGCUGGGUUCAAGGGAUGGGGGGGCUGGGGGGAUGAUAGAGAUCGCCAGUUGUGCUUGAAAUUCGCUGACAUGUAUCACUCCGUGGGCAAUGUUUCUACCAUCUGAAGAUUGUGUUUUGGCAUUUAGGUUGUCUCACUAUUAUUACUGAUGAGGUCUUGAAUUUUUUUUGUUGAGCCAUUCAAAAGGAAAGAUGAGUAUAUUUUUUUUAUGUUUUUAGUAUCUUACGAAUUUUCAAGCUGUUUUCCAGCUUUAAUGAAUACAGAUUUUAGUCUUUAUUCUCUCUGAUCUGUUGUGCUACAUUUUUUUGAGAUCUCCGAUUCUAUUUUUAUUUGAUGCCUUUGAAAGCAUAGCAAAUACUUGCAUGCUCUGUUUUACCUUUUGUGGCUGACCAAAAGCUUACUUGUAUGCCAGCAAAUACAUGCACAUAUUCGCUUUGCAUAUUGUGAUUUAUAAGAAACAUGAAAGGAAUUUCUUUCGUGUUCUGUAUGUGUACGUGUG